This 253-nucleotide ribosomal RNA is filed under the name uncultured bacterium. RNAcentral describes it as "partial 16S ribosomal RNA". It matches the Rfam family "Bacterial small subunit ribosomal RNA", at positions 524 to 776 of the family's 1533-position model. The record is from RNAcentral.
GACGAAGGGGGCUAGCGUUGUUCGGUGUCACUGGGCUUAAAGAGUAUGUAGGCGGAUAAGUAAGCGUUUUGUGAAAUCCCUCAGCUCAACUGAGGAAUUGCUUGGCGAACUGCUUAUCUUGAGGCAAGUAGGGGUGCAUGGAACUCUUGGUGGAGCGGUGGAAUGCGUAGAUAUCAAGAGGAACGCCGGUGGUGAAGACGGUGCACUGGGCUUGUCCUGACGCUCAGAUACGAAAGCGUGGGGAGCAAACAGG